UACGGGGGGGGGCAAGCGUUGUUCGGAAUUACUGGGCGUAAAGGGCUCGUAGGCGGCCAACUAAGUCAGACGUGAAAUCCCUCGGCUUAACCGGGGAACUGCAUCUGAUACUGGAUGGCUUGAGAUUGGGAGAGGGAUGCGGAAUUCCAGGUGUAGCGGUGAAAUGCGUAGAUAUCUGGAGGAACACCGGUGGCGAAGGCGGCAUCCUGGACCGGUAUUGACGCUGAGGCGCGAAAGCCAGGGGAGCAAACGGG
This 254-nucleotide ribosomal RNA is filed under the name uncultured bacterium. RNAcentral describes it as "partial 16S ribosomal RNA". It matches the Rfam family "Bacterial small subunit ribosomal RNA", at positions 524 to 776 of the family's 1533-position model. The record is from RNAcentral.